CACCUACUCGCAGUCUUUGCUCCAAUUCCCCUUUCCCUACUUUAAUCCCUCAAAAUAUUGAAAUCUUUGAAUUUUAAUUUUGUUUGUUUGUUCUUGGUUUGCAGAUCCGACGGUGUGCAGCCUCAUUUGGUGAACAUUCAAUUCCAGAGGAAAGGCUUCAAGGUAUGGUGGUUGCAGGUAGGGGAGUCGGGGGACGACGAACUGAUGGGUUUUUUUUUUUUUUUCUGGGUUGCAGAGGGUUUUUUUUUUUUUUUUUUUUUUUCUGGGUUGCAAAGGGGUUUUUUUUUUUUUUUUUUCUGGGUUGCAGGGGGAAGAAGAUGAAGAUGGGGAAGAUGAAGAUGGG
RNAcentral lists this long non-coding RNA (343 nucleotides) under Malus domestica (apple). RNAcentral describes it as "long non-coding RNA (MDOM_LNC007315)". Lineage: Eukaryota; Viridiplantae; Streptophyta; Magnoliopsida; Rosales; Rosaceae. The record is from RNAcentral.